This 514-nucleotide ribosomal RNA is filed under the name uncultured bacterium. Its description in RNAcentral is "bacterial SSU rRNA". It matches the Rfam family "Bacterial small subunit ribosomal RNA", at positions 15 to 518 of the family's 1533-position model. The record is from RNAcentral.
GAUCCUGGCUCAGGAUGAACGCUAGCUACAGGCUUAACACAUGCAAGUCGAGGGGCAGCGGGAAGAAAGCUUGCUUCUUUGCCGGCGACCGGCGCACGGGUGAGUAACGCGUAUCCAACCUUCCCCUUAGUAGGGCAUAGCCCGUAGAAAUGCGGAUUAAUACCCUAUGUUGUUCGAUGCGGACAUCUAAGUUGAACCAAAGGUUUACCGCUAAGGGAUGGGGAUGCGUCCGAUUAGGCAGCAGGCGGGGUAACGGCCCACCUGGCCGACGAUCGGUAGGGGUUCUGAGAGGAAGGUCCCCCACAUUGGAACUGAGACACGGUCCAAACUCCUACGGGAGGCAGCAGUGAGGAAUAUUGGUCAAUGGGCGAGAGCCUGAACCAGCCAAGUAGCGUGCCAGGACGACGGCCCUAUGGGUUGUAAACUGCUUUUAUGCGGGGAUAAAGUGCGGCACGUGUGCCGUUUUGUAGGUACCGCAUGAAUAAGGACCGGCUAAUUCCGUGCCAGCAGCCGC